Molecule: long non-coding RNA, 270 nt
Filed under: Carica papaya (papaya)
Lineage: Eukaryota; Viridiplantae; Streptophyta; Magnoliopsida; Brassicales; Caricaceae
Description: long non-coding RNA (CPAP_LNC004809)
Source: RNAcentral
UAGCUAGACCAAAGCAAACUGCUGUUGCGAGUGGCAGUGCUGUCGCCGGAGCACGGUGGUGUCGCCAUGUCGGAACCCCCAAAUUGGCCAAAAAAGAAUUUUUAACACCGAUUUUGGGUUUUGAGAGGUUUUUUAGGUACAUAAAGCGUGUUUUAAUCUUAACAUAAAAAUUCAAGAAAUCUGAGAACCGUCAGUAGGCGCAGUAGAAAGUUUGAUAUUUCAAACACCGAUUUAAAUAAGAAUCUCUCACCUUACUCUCUGUUAUGGAAU